Colias croceus (clouded yellow) is the source of this 236-nucleotide long non-coding RNA. RefSeq lists it as uncharacterized. The record is from RefSeq and is a predicted model, not a curated record. The transcript has 2 exons. Lineage: Eukaryota; Metazoa; Arthropoda; Insecta; Lepidoptera; Pieridae.
UUAAGAGCCUGUAGGACGAACGUAGCUAUCAUUAGAAGCUGAUACACCAUGCUGUUCAAAACUUUAUACCUGUUCUUCAUCAUGUGUUUCCUCAGCAUGCCUGCAAUUAUGGCAAGCCGUCAAGCCCAAGUCCGUCGACCAGUUAUAAUAAGAUCGUCCCAUCGUGGUUAUGGAAGAAGAGGUUGAAGUGACCUUAUUUUUUUUGCUUCUUUGUAUAAAUAAAACCUUUAAGCCAA